Molecule: long non-coding RNA, 955 nt
Organism: Drosophila yakuba
Lineage: Eukaryota; Metazoa; Arthropoda; Insecta; Diptera; Drosophilidae
Exons: 2
Source: RefSeq, a predicted model, not a curated record
AACUGACUAACUGACUAGCUGACUAACUCACCAACUGACCAACUGAUAAAGUGAAUUUUCCAUUUGCCGCCUCAGCUGUUGGCAGUUCGAUACUCGAUCGCCUCUCGCUCGGGCCACAUUGCGCAUACGCCGCGUAAUCCGAUAGAACAGUAGCCGGUGUGCGAGCUGUGUGUGCCGCUGAGUGUGAAACUCUUUGACAAUGCCCGUCAAGGUGUCAAAGCUUCAAACCGCAUUCAGCCAGCGAAGACUACGUAAAUCAAGACGUUAGUUCAUAAAUUCGAUUCUCAGUGUGCUCAUCUACGUGUGUCAGUGUGUCUGUCUGUGUGUGCUGGCAUGUGUGUUUGUGUGUGUUUUUGUAAAUUAUUUAAUAGCUUGAUUGACAACCGUGAGCUAAGAGCUAAGAGCUAAGCCGAUAUCCGACCAUAAGGUCUCUGCUUUUCGAUGCCUUGCGAUGCUUUGCGAUGCCUUGGUGAGAUCUUGCGAUGCCAAUCAAAGCAAAUCACAACACAACGGCACAACAACAUUUAGCAUCGCAGCAUCAGCGCCACAACAACAGCAACAACAACAACAAUAACAGCAUCGCCACCAGCGCAAAAUUGCCUGCAUUCAUUUAAAUGGCAAAUGGCAAAUGGCGAACGGCAAACGGCAAACGCACACAGAAAGACAUCAAAUGAAACAGAAGCGGCAAAGUGACGGCUUUUGACUGCAUAACAGCCCAGAAAGUAUGCACACACUGAGAGAAAAUAGUCGGCGCAACAUAUCGGUGACUUUGGAGUUCAAUUUUGAAUGUUUCACUAGUAAUAAUGCGCCGCUAACAGCUAAAAAGCAUAUUUAACAAGCUGCUAAUAAUAUUAUAGAACUUUAAUUCUUAGAAAAAUGCUUUAGUAUUUAGUACUGUAAUAUUUAUGUACUGUAAUAAAAAUAGGGAAAUAUGUGGUAAUUAUAUAUCCACAAA